GGCGACAGAUCCUUGGCAAUGCGCGCUGGAAGCCGACUCUGCUCCUGAACAACACAGAAGUACAGACGCUCCACGGGAACGGCCGUCAAACCAGAUGACUGCCGUCACUCUGAUUCUUCUGGCUCACUCUUAGACUGACAUUCACAGCAGAAAGGCUCAGGUCAGAGAGGUUUGGGGGAAAAGGCUUCUCCACUUCUUCAAAACGUUCAAAUCAACACCAGCUUUGUUGUGGGCUUCUUCUAACCCGCUGAUAGUGACAAAGCUGGUCGCUCGGUGGACAGGAGUUGUGGGCACAGCGUAAUGGAAAAGCAGAACGAAGCUCGGACAGCCGCCCCAGACAGCGACGGAGCUCGGGCUCCCCGAGGACAGGGUUUUUCCACAAGAUGGCGUCUUUGUCAGAAAGGACAGUCAGGGGUCGGCUGUUGGCUUUGCACCGCCUGCAUGAGGGAGGCUUCUGUGUACCAGGAAUCAAAAUGACAACGAAAGGAGAAUGUGCUGUCACAAUAUUACUCAAAAAUAUUUACUGGGUUGUUUCUGAAGACAAAUAAAUUAAAACUAUAACAUAAAUACACCAGAAACCUGUGUUUAUUUGUGCAACAAAUAAUAGACGCUUUUGUGCAACGUUGCUAAAAUCAGUAAAACUGUCUUUGACAAGCAUUGAACCAGUCUUGAUAAGCGUGCACCCUAU
Molecule: long non-coding RNA, 688 nt
Organism: Oryzias melastigma (Indian medaka)
Lineage: Eukaryota; Metazoa; Chordata; Actinopteri; Beloniformes; Adrianichthyidae
Exons: 3
Source: RefSeq, a predicted model, not a curated record